AGUAACGCGUGAGCAACCUGCCUAUGACAGUGGGAUAGCCUCGGGAAACCGGGAUUAAUACCGCAUAAAAUCGUAGAAACACAUGUUUCAACGGUCAAAGAUUUAUCGGUCAUAGAUGGGCUCGCGUCUGAUUAGCUAGUUGGUGAGAUAACAGCCCACCAAGGCGACGAUCAGUAGCCGGUCUGAGAGGAUGAACGGCCACAUUGGAACUGAGACACGGUCCAA
Molecule: ribosomal RNA, 225 nt
Filed under: uncultured Eubacteriales bacterium
Lineage: Bacteria; Bacillati; Bacillota; Clostridia; Eubacteriales
Description: uncultured Clostridiales bacterium partial 16S ribosomal RNA
Rfam family: Bacterial small subunit ribosomal RNA
Source: RNAcentral